Non-coding RNA from Pelobates cultripes (western spadefoot toad), 386 nucleotides. NCBI's taxonomy places the organism in Eukaryota, Metazoa, Chordata, Amphibia, Anura, Pelobatidae. The record is from the annotation of a GenBank genome assembly.
UUCCGGAGGAGAUCACCCAGCUCGCCAUGCUAGAGCACUUUUUCAAUGUGCUCCCCAACAAGAAGGCAAUGACGCAUUCAUAUGUCAAUCCAUAUCAACUUUUGAUGCCAUUGACUGCACCUACCAUGGUGACCACAGGUAAUGGGGAAUCAGGGUUCCAUUCCAUACAAGGACCCUAACAAACGGCUACCACAUGCAAGGAAGACAGCAGGAGCAAAUGACCCACUCCCAACGUGGGAAGAUAGUGACAACAAAUAACAAUACUGGACUCUUUAGAGGCCCUGUAAUUGUAAUGAGUCCACUUGAAAUCCUUUAACUCUGAUCAAUUGGAGGAAAGUCUGGUGCAGAGCCACUGACCCGUGCGUGCUGCAGCUGAAACUCCACUA